UACAGAGGGUGCGAGCGUUAAUCGGAAUUACUGGGCGUAAAGCGUGCGCAGACGGUUGCGUAAGUCAGAUGUGAAAGCCCCGGGCUCAACCUGGGAAUUGCAUUUGAGACUGCGUAGCUAGGGUGCGGAAGAGGGAAGCGGAAUUUCCGGUGUAGCGGUGGAAUGCGUAGAUAUCGGAAGGAACACCAGUGGCGAAAGCGGCUUCCUGGUCCAGCACCGACGUUCAGGCACGAAAGCGUGGGGAGCAAACAGG
Molecule: ribosomal RNA, 253 nt
Filed under: uncultured bacterium
Lineage: Bacteria
Description: partial 16S ribosomal RNA
Rfam family: Bacterial small subunit ribosomal RNA
Source: RNAcentral